RNAcentral lists this ribosomal RNA (463 nucleotides) under Vreelandella stevensii. RNAcentral describes it as "partial 16S ribosomal RNA". It matches the Rfam family "Bacterial small subunit ribosomal RNA", at positions 340 to 795 of the family's 1533-position model. The record is from RNAcentral. Lineage: Bacteria; Pseudomonadati; Pseudomonadota; Gammaproteobacteria; Oceanospirillales; Halomonadaceae.
CACGGGCGGCAGCAGUGGGGAAUAUUGGACAAUGGGCGAAAGCCUGAUCCAGCCAUGCCGCGUGUGUGAAGAAGGCCUUCGGGUUGUAAAGCACUUUCAGUGGGGAAGAAAGCCUUGGGGCUAAUACCCUCGAGGAAGGACAUCACCCACAGAAGAAGCACCGGCUAACUCCGUGCCAGCAGCCGCGGUAAUACGGAGGGUGCGAGCGUUAAUCGGAAUUACUGGGCGUAAAGCGCGCGUAGGCGGUCUGAUAAGCCGGUUGUGAAAGCCCCGGGCUCAACCUGGGAACGGCAUCCGGAACUGUCAGGCUAGAGUGCAGGAGAGGAAGGUAGAAUUCCCGGUGUAGCGGUGAAAUGCGUAGAGAUCGGGAGGAAUACCAGUGGCGAAGGCGGCCUUCUGGACUGACACUGACGCUGAGGUGCGAAAGCGUGGGUAGCAAACAGGAUUAGAUACCCCGGUAGUC